This 663-nucleotide non-coding RNA is filed under the name Pan troglodytes (chimpanzee). Lineage: Eukaryota; Metazoa; Chordata; Mammalia; Primates; Hominidae. The record is from RNAcentral.
CCUGCUGCAGCGGUGGGCCCUGUGAAGUUUUUUGAAUGCCUAUGAGUGGCCCCUUCUGGCUGUGCACGAAGGAUGAGUUGGGGGGACAGGUAGAGAUGGACAGCCCCAGGAAGAGGCAAGGCAGCUGCGCAGGUGUCCAAGGUCCCGUGGCGGAGGAGCCAGCCUGAGGCAGUGGCUGUCCAGGACCACAGAAGAAGGAAGGAUCUAUCCUGCUUAGUCCUCACAAGAGAGGAGCCCUGCCCGGUGGCUGCUGCUGUCCCCAUCCCUCCGAGGCUCUGAGAAUCAACUGGCCUGGCUCACAGGUCACACGGAGGCGCAGCAGAUAGAAGCCCAGGCCUGGGGUUGUUAAGUACAGUUCAGGAGGGGCUCUCCAGGAGCCUAUGGGAAGUGAAAUGUCCGCGUCCUAUGCACACAGGUGCUCCCUCCCUUUCCCUGUCCCUCUCUCUGGGGAAACCAACUCUUCUCUCUUGAGCUUUAUCCUGGCUCUUCCCCGACCUGCUCCAGGCACAGGGGCUCCCUCCUCACCAGCCAACCCCCACUGCAGCCUCAGCCCCUGACCUUGUUAUGAGGCCAGCUGCUCAGGCUUGUGUGUGGAAAUGACCUAAGCCCCUCCCGAGCUGGCCUCUUUGUUGUUUAUUGUCUGUUCCUCCUGAUUGCGCCUCU